AAUUAAGUCAGCUAUUAAAGCUAAUGAGUUCAUACCUCAUAAAAGAUUAUAUAACUUCUCCAUCU
RNAcentral lists this transfer RNA (65 nucleotides) under Araneae sp. MT-2014. RNAcentral's name for it is "tRNA-Met". Lineage: Eukaryota; Metazoa; Arthropoda; Arachnida; Araneae. The record is from RNAcentral.